UAUUUCUUUGGUGACUAAUGGGUAA
Molecule: non-coding RNA, 25 nt
Filed under: Rattus norvegicus (Norway rat)
Lineage: Eukaryota; Metazoa; Chordata; Mammalia; Rodentia; Muridae
Source: RNAcentral